Molecule: transfer RNA, 87 nt
Filed under: Hypoxylon fuscum
Lineage: Eukaryota; Fungi; Ascomycota; Sordariomycetes; Xylariales; Hypoxylaceae
Description: tRNA-Asn
Rfam family: tRNA
About the family: Transfer RNA (tRNA) molecules are approximately 80 nucleotides in length.
Source: RNAcentral
UCCUCCGUAGCUCAAUUGGUUAGAGCGUCUGACUGUUAUGCAUCUAUAGCGAUCAGGAGGUUGGAAGUUCAAGCCUUCCCGGGGGAG